This 501-nucleotide ribosomal RNA is filed under the name uncultured bacterium. RNAcentral describes it as "partial 16S ribosomal RNA". It matches the Rfam family "Bacterial small subunit ribosomal RNA", at positions 899 to 1397 of the family's 1533-position model. The record is from RNAcentral.
ACUCAAAUGAAUUGACGGGGGCCCGCACAAGCGGUGGAGCAUGGGGAUUAAUUCGUCAUUAACCGAAGAACCUUACCAGGGCUUGACAUCCCCGGAACCCUCUGGAAACAGGGGGGUGCCUCGCAAGAGGAGCCGGGAGACAGGUGUUGCAUGGCUGUCGUCAGCUCGUGUCGUGAGAUGUUGGGUUAAGUCCCGCAACGAGCGCAACCCUCACCCGAUGUUGCCAGCGUAAAGCCGGGCACUCUUCGGGAACUGCCCGUGUAAGCGGGAGGAAGGUGGGGAUGACGUCAAGUCGGCAUGGCCCUUACGUCCUGGGCUUCACCCAUGCUACAAUGGGCGCGACAGAGGGCAGCAAACCCGCGAGGGGGAGCCAAUCCCACAAAGGCGCUCUCAGUUCGGAUUGCAGGCUGCAACUCGCCUGCAUGAAGUCGGAAUCGCUAGUAACCGCCGGUCAGCUAAACGGCGGUGAAUACGUUCCCGGGCCUUGUACACACCGCCCGU